GUGCCAGCCGCCGCGGUAAUACCGGCAGCCCGAGUGAUGGCCGAUCUUAUUGGGCCUAAAGCGUCCGUAGCUGGCUGCGCAAGUCCGUCGGGAAAUCCACUCGCCCAACGAGUGGGCGUCCGACGGAAACUGCAUAGCUUGGGACCGGAAGGCGCGACGGGUACGUCCGGGGUAGGAGUGAAAUCCCGUAAUCCUGGACGGACCGCCGAUGGCGAAAGCACGUCGCGAAGACGGAUCCGACAGUGAGGGACGAAAGCCAGGGUCUCCAACCGGAUUAGAUACCCCGGGAGUCC
This 293-nucleotide ribosomal RNA is filed under the name uncultured bacterium. RNAcentral describes it as "partial 16S ribosomal RNA". It matches the Rfam family "Archaeal small subunit ribosomal RNA", at positions 455 to 747 of the family's 1478-position model. The record is from RNAcentral.